Long non-coding RNA from Protopterus annectens (West African lungfish), 690 nucleotides. RefSeq lists it as uncharacterized. The record is from RefSeq and is a predicted model, not a curated record. The transcript has 2 exons. NCBI's taxonomy places the organism in Eukaryota, Metazoa, Chordata, Ceratodontiformes, Protopteridae.
CAGUAUAAAAAUGCAUUGAAGAGUAGCUGAUGAUAACUUUUAGUGCUUUUUGUCUUGAAAGAAGCUUGUGAUUUUAAACUAACUAUAUUGUUGGUAUUUUUUUAGUUAGUGACCUUUUUUAAAAAAGUGAAUAAUUAUUAAAAGGCUAUACUAUUUUAAUUUUUAUAGGUUUGAAGCUUAAGAUGUCUGGAAUUAACAAGAAAAAAAAGGUAAAAUCUCAUGCUCAAUCCAGGUCUUCCAGAGCGGGACUGACUUUCCCAGUUGGUCGUAUUCACAGACUGCUGAGGAAGGGUAACUAUGCAGAAAGGAUCGGAUCUGGGGCUCCAAUAUACCUUGCAGCAGUUCUUGAAUAUUUGACUGCAGAAAUAAUGGAGCUUUCUGGGAAUGCAGCUCGUGAAAACAAGAGAAACAGGAUCACACCAAGGCACAUCCAGCUGGCUGUGAGAAAUGAUGAGGAAUUCCACAAACUGCUUGGAGAUGUAACCAUUUCUGAAGGAGGGGUUCUGCCUAAUAUUCAGCCUUCACUUCUGCCAAGAAGAAAAGGUCUUGAAAGUAAAGACUUGGAUUCUCAGCUCUGAGUGCUAAUGGAACACUUGGAUUUUUAUAAAUUGUUAAAUUAUAUUUUCUAAUGGAACACUUGUCAUAUUUAAUCUAUUUAUAAAUCCUAAAUAAAGUUUACCUUUAACUCCA